GACGAACGCUGGCGGCGUGCCUAACACAUGCAAGUCGAACGGUCCGGCACUCAACCGACCCUCAGUCUAACUGUAGGGGAAGUUAAGUGCCGGAUAGUGGCGGACGGGUGAGUAACGCGUGGGCAACCAACCCUGUACAGUGGGAUAACACCGGGAAACCGGUGCUAAUACCGCAUGACACCUAGAUGGUGCAUACUGUUUAGGUUAAAGGGCAAAACCGGUACGGGACGGGCCCGCGUCCCAUUAGCUGGUUGGUGAGAUAACGGCUCACCAAGGCGACGAUGGGUAGCCGACCUGAGAGGGUGGCCGGCCACACUGGGACUGAGACACGGCCCAGACUCCUACGGGAGGCAGCAGUGGGGAAUUUUGGACAAUGGGGGCAACCCUGAUCCAGCCAUGCCGCGUGAGUGAAGAAGGCCUUCGGGUUGUAAAGCUCUUUCGGUCCGGGAACGGAAAUCGCAUGGGUUAAUGCCCUGUGCGGAUGACGGUACCGGCAUAAGAAGCACCGGCUAACUACGUGCCAGCAGACC
This 530-nucleotide ribosomal RNA is filed under the name uncultured bacterium. Its description in RNAcentral is "bacterial SSU rRNA". It matches the Rfam family "Bacterial small subunit ribosomal RNA", at positions 28 to 517 of the family's 1533-position model. The record is from RNAcentral.